UGGGGAAUCUUCCGCAAUGGACGAAAGUCUGACGGAGCAACGCCGCGUGAGUGAUGACGGCCUUCGGGUUGUAAAGCUCUGUUAAUCGGGACGAAUGGUUCUUGUGCGAAUAGUGCAAGGAUUUGACGGUACCGGAAUAGAAAGCCACGGCUAACUACGUGCCAGCAGCCGCGGUAAUACGUAGGUGGCAAGCGUUGUCCGGAAUUAUUGGGCGUAAAGCGCGCGCAGGCGGAUUGGUCAGUCUGUCUUAAAAGUUCGGGGCUUAACCCCGUGAUGCGAUGGAAACUGCCAAUCUAGAGUAUCGGAGAGGAAAGUGGAAUUCCUAGUGUAGCGGUGAAAUGCGUAGAUAUUAGGAAGAACACCAGUGGCGAAGGCGACUUUCUGGACGAAAACUGACGCUGAGGCGCGAAAGCCAGGGGAGCGAACGGG
Molecule: ribosomal RNA, 429 nt
Filed under: bacterium
Lineage: Bacteria
Description: partial 16S ribosomal RNA
Rfam family: Bacterial small subunit ribosomal RNA
Source: RNAcentral